This 264-nucleotide ribosomal RNA is filed under the name uncultured bacterium. Its description in RNAcentral is "partial 16S ribosomal RNA". It matches the Rfam family "Archaeal small subunit ribosomal RNA", at positions 474 to 739 of the family's 1478-position model. The record is from RNAcentral.
UCCCAGCAGUCCAAGUCGCAGCCACAUUUGUUGGGUCUAAAACAUCCGUAGCUUGCCUUUCAAGUCUCUUGUGAAAUCGGGCCUCUUAAGGGUCCGGCGUGCAAGAGAGACUGCUUGGCUAGAGACCGGGAGAUGUAAGGAGUACAGACAGGGUAGCGGUAAAAUGUGUUGAUCCUAUCUGGACUAACAACAGCGAAGGCACCUUGCAAGAACGGUUCUGACAGUGAGGGAUGAAGGCUAGGGGCGCAAAGUGGAUUAGAACCA